Molecule: long non-coding RNA, 617 nt
Organism: Larimichthys crocea (large yellow croaker)
Lineage: Eukaryota; Metazoa; Chordata; Actinopteri; Sciaenidae
Exons: 3
Source: RefSeq, a predicted model, not a curated record
AGCAGAGCACUGUCUCACAGCCAGGAUGUCUGAUUUGUGGACUCCGCUGGACUUCCAUGACAUGUCUGCUCUUACAUACAAAUCCUACAGACACAAAGUGGGUGGACUCUGGGGCAUCCUGGAAAGAUGUGCCAUCCUUCUCGUUUGCUCAGAUGUGGACUGAUGGAGGUGGAUUCAUACCUUGUUGAUAGAGCAGUGCCUGAUCAGUGGCUGGGAGUCCAGGAGAGCUGCAGAUGGGAUGGAGGCACGCUCUCUCUCAGUGUACUCCAGAAGCAGACACUGCAGGUGCUCGGGACUCAGUUUCUCUGGAGGACUGACUCCACAGGCUGGAUCACUGCAGAAGGAACCACACAGCAAUGAUCAUUUAAAAGAAAAAUCUUAAUUUGUGCAGAAACUCCAGUGAGUACCCAUUAGAAUAGUUUUCUACUGGCAAGACUGCUAUCAGGAGACACUUUUAAGGAUGUUGAUAUAUCACACUGAUUUUGGAGUGCACAGGAUUCAGACUUUUCACAGUUUUCAGAUUUUUUGCUACAGCUAAAAUGUUUUUUCUGCUUUUAGUUUUAUGACCAGCUCCUCAAGUGAAUUGCAUGUGCAGAAGUACAGCUGGGUCAAAACAU